Molecule: ribosomal RNA, 301 nt
Filed under: uncultured bacterium
Lineage: Bacteria
Description: partial 16S ribosomal RNA
Rfam family: Bacterial small subunit ribosomal RNA
Source: RNAcentral
CAGUCGCCGCGGGAAUGCGUAGGGUGCGAGCGUUAAUCGGAAUUACUGGGCGUAAAGCGUGCGCAGGCGGUUUUGUAAGACAGGCGUGAAAUCCCCGGGCUCAACCUGGGAAUGGCGCUUGUGACUGCAAAGCUAGAGUGCGGCAGAGGGGAUGGAAUUCCGCGUGUAGCAGUGAAAUGCGUAGAUAUGCGGUGGAACACCGAUGGCGAAGGCAAUCCCCUGGGCCUGCACUGACGCUCAUGCACGAAAGCGUGGGGAGCAAACAGGAUUAGAGACCCCUGUAGUCCCUGUCUCUUAUACA